Molecule: long non-coding RNA, 636 nt
Organism: Xyrauchen texanus (razorback sucker)
Lineage: Eukaryota; Metazoa; Chordata; Actinopteri; Cypriniformes; Catostomidae
Exons: 2
Source: RefSeq, a predicted model, not a curated record
AAGACAUUCCUCGCUAAGAGCCUGGAGACAAAGCAAACAUACAGGAUCCAUUUACGAAAGGAGCCGCAGUAGGUCAGCAGCCAUGACAUGGACUAUUGCGCUUUCCUGAACCUGAGCAUGCAUUACUCGGCAUUGAUAAGCUGAAAGGAGGAACUGUUGAAGGGGAUAUUCCAAUUAUUUUGAACCAGUCUACUGAAGAUGAGCUUUUGGGUUGCAAUUACUCUCUCUAACACACUUACAGGCAUACAGAACAUCACAACAUCUCAGACCUUGGUAAUCUCAGAAUCAGCUUGUGAAUCAUUUACACUUCCCAAUAAAGCACUUUUCUCUCUCUCACACACACACUGACAUAGAAAUGUCUGAUAGCAGCUGUCAUCGGCAUGCUCUACCCAGACUAAUAAGAUAUCAACACUAUGUCAAUUAAUUCAGAGAUGCUGCUCUGAAAAGAGAGAGAGAAAAAAAAAAAAACAUGUAAAUAAACUCAAGGAAUUACAUGAUAUUUCAUCAUCAUCAACAACAACACUGUAGUGUAUAUCCAUAGCAGACAACCAUGACCAUAAAUACAGAUGAGCAGUUUUACAAUGGAGCUUUGUGUAGUAACAUGGCACAGCAAAAUAAACUAAGAUAUCAAAAGCA